Molecule: ribosomal RNA, 303 nt
Filed under: uncultured bacterium
Lineage: Bacteria
Description: partial 16S ribosomal RNA
Rfam family: Bacterial small subunit ribosomal RNA
Source: RNAcentral
AGCAGUAGCCACGGGAAUACGAAGGGGGCUAGCGUUGUUCGGAAUCACUGGGCGUAAAGGGUGCGUAGGCGGGAUCUUAAGUCAGGGGUGAAAUCCCGAGGCUCAACCUCGGAACUGCCUUUGAUACUGGGGUCCUUGAGUCCGGAAGAGGUGAGUGGAACUGCGAGUGUAGAGGUGAAAUUCGUAGAUAUUCGCAAGAACACCGGUGGCGAAGGCGGCUCACUGGUCCGGAACUGACGCUGAGGCACGACAGCGUGGGGAGCAAACAGGAUUAGAGACCCCUGUAGUCCCUGUCUCUUAUAC